Molecule: ribosomal RNA, 555 nt
Filed under: Triticum aestivum (bread wheat)
Lineage: Eukaryota; Viridiplantae; Streptophyta; Magnoliopsida; Poales; Poaceae
Description: partial small subunit ribosomal RNA
Source: RNAcentral
AUGGCCGAAUGCUUCAAUAGGGUGCUCAAAGGUGCACGUGGAUUACCUGUGACGGCAAUAGUUCAAUACACAUUUGACAAGAUGAAUGCGUACUUUGUAAAGUACUCGAUGGAAACCGAUGCACAAAUAGCGGGUGAGAACCCACGGAAGUACAAGUACAAGUUCCCACCCAAAGUUGAUGAAUGGUUGCUAUUUCAAUCACGGAAAGCGGACUCAGAAGAAGCUAUAUUAUAUGACAAUGAGGAGUGGAAGUACGAAGUGAAAGAGCCAGGAGGAACCACAAACGAUGGCCGGCAACAUGGAGGUCGGGCUUUCAAGGUGUCGUUAACACAAUGUGAUUGCACUUGCGGGAGGCCAUUGUUGCUUCAUCUCCCAUGCUCACAUUUGUAUGCCGCCGGCCGCGUUAGGAAUGUGGACAUCAAUCACCCACGCACCGUGAGGGAGUCCCAGUUCUCAAUCAUGACGGUCAAGAAAACAUGGGCUCCCCGCUUUCACCCAUACUUUGACCAAUCACAAUGGCUGGAGUAUCAUGGAGUUCAACUAUGGCCGGAUCCG